This is a long non-coding RNA of Alosa sapidissima (American shad), 322 nucleotides long. RefSeq lists it as uncharacterized. The transcript is spliced from 4 exons. NCBI's taxonomy places the organism in Eukaryota, Metazoa, Chordata, Actinopteri, Clupeiformes, Clupeidae. The record is from RefSeq and is a predicted model, not a curated record.
CACUGCUGCAAGCUCUGCGCACCCAAGUACCACGAGCUAAGGCUUUCAAAAACUCGCCGUGAAAAACCAUAUUGAGAAGAAACACCCAACCCGUCUAUAGAGAUGAAUAUGCUUGCAGUGAUGGGUGGGAAAACACCCAAAGACACCAUCAAGCGUAUAAUGGGGAGGCUAUUGAGCAAAUCCUUGGCUUUGCAAUUGAAUUGGACAGGUCAAGGGGGAAAGGUGUCUUUCAAGACACUACAAAUGAAAACGGUGUUGCACAGAGCUGGACGCAAGAAUCCACCAACCCCGGGAUGUCAGAGAAGACAUCAUUCAGAAGGAG